RNAcentral lists this microRNA precursor (105 nucleotides) under Marmota monax (woodchuck). Lineage: Eukaryota; Metazoa; Chordata; Mammalia; Rodentia; Sciuridae. The record is from RNAcentral.
AGUGGGAUUGCUGGAUCAUAUGGGAAGGGUAUGUUUAACUUUACAAGAAAUUGCCAAACUGUUUUCCAGAGUGACUGUAACUAUUUUUGCAUUCCUCCUGGCAAU